Molecule: transfer RNA, 71 nt
Filed under: Candidatus Kaiserbacteria bacterium
Lineage: Bacteria; Candidatus Kaiseribacteriota
Description: tRNA-Gly
Rfam family: tRNA
About the family: Transfer RNA (tRNA) molecules are approximately 80 nucleotides in length. Their secondary structure includes four short double-helical elements and three loops (D, anti-codon, and T loops). Further hydrogen bonds mediate the characteristic L-shaped molecular structure. tRNAs have two regions of fundamental functional importance: the anti-codon, which is responsible for specific mRNA codon recognition, and the 3' end, to which the tRNAs corresponding amino acid is attached (by aminoacyl-tRNA synthetases). tRNAs cope with the degeneracy of the genetic code in two manners: having more than one tRNA (with a specific anti-codon) for a particular amino acid; and 'wobble' base-pairing, i.e. permitting non-standard base-pairing at the 3rd anti-codon position.
Source: RNAcentral
GCGGGAUUAGUUAAAUGGUAUAACGACUGCCUUCCAAGCAGUAGUCAGGAGUUCGAUUCCCCUAUCCCGCA